RNAcentral lists this ribosomal RNA (468 nucleotides) under uncultured bacterium. Its description in RNAcentral is "partial 16S ribosomal RNA". It matches the Rfam family "Bacterial small subunit ribosomal RNA", at positions 28 to 507 of the family's 1533-position model. The record is from RNAcentral.
GACGAACGCUGGCGGCGUGCUUAACACAUGCAAGUCGAACGGAAAGGCCCUGCUUUUGUGGGGUGCUCGAGUGGCGAACGGGUGAGUAACACGUGAGUAACCUGCCCUUGACUUUGGGAUAACUUCAGGAAACUGGGGCUAAUACCGGAUAGGAGCUCCUGCUGCAUGGUGGGGGUUGGAAAGUUUCGGCGGUUGGGGCUGGACUCGCGGCUUAUCAGCUUGUUGGUGGGGUAGUGGCUUACCAAGGCUUUGACGGGUAACCGGCCUGAGAGGGUGACCGGCCACAUUGGGACUGAGAUACGGCCCAGACUCCUACGGGAGGCAGCAGUGGGGAAUAUUGCACAAUGGGCGGAAGCCUGAUGCAGCAACGCCGCGUGCGGGAUGACGGCCUUCGGGUUGUAAACCGCUUUCGCCUGUGACGAAGCGUGAGUGACGGUAAUGGGUAAAGAAGCACCGGCUAACUACGUG